GUCCCUGUAGCGCAAUGGAUGGCGAGUUGGACUUCUAAUCCGAAGGUCGUGGAUUCAACUCCCGCCUGGGAUG
RNAcentral lists this transfer RNA (73 nucleotides) under Trichonephila inaurata madagascariensis. It matches the Rfam family "tRNA". Rfam says of the family: Transfer RNA (tRNA) molecules are approximately 80 nucleotides in length. Their secondary structure includes four short double-helical elements and three loops (D, anti-codon, and T loops). The record is from Rfam by way of RNAcentral. Lineage: Eukaryota; Metazoa; Arthropoda; Arachnida; Araneae; Nephilidae.